AUUGAACGCUGGCGGCAUGCUUUACACAUGCAAGUCGAACGGUAACAGGUUAAGCUGACGAGUGGCGAACGGGUGAGUAAUGCAUCGGAACGUGCCCGAUCGUGGGGGAUAACGCAGCGAAAGCUGCGCUAAUACCGCAUACGAUCUGAGGAUGAAAACGGGGGACCGUAAGGCCUCGCGCGAUCGGAGCGGCCGAUGUCAGAGUGGGUAGUUGGUGGGGUAAAGGCUCCCCAAGCCAACGAUCUGUAGCUGGUCUGAGAGGACGACCAGCCACACUGGGACUGAGACACGGCCCAGACUCCUACGGGAGGCAGCAGUGGGGAAUUUUGGACAAUGGGCGAAAGCCUGAUCCAGCAAUGCCGCGUGCAGGAAGAAGGCCUUCGGGUUGUAAACUGCUUUUGUACGGAGCGAAAAGGCCCUCUCUAAUACAGUGGGCUCAUGACGGUACCGUAAGAAUAAGCACCGGCUAACUACGUGCCAGCCGCCGCGGUAA
This 493-nucleotide ribosomal RNA is filed under the name uncultured bacterium. RNAcentral describes it as "partial 16S ribosomal RNA". It matches the Rfam family "Bacterial small subunit ribosomal RNA", at positions 29 to 523 of the family's 1533-position model. The record is from RNAcentral.